GAAGCAGGAGGGACCACCCUCCAAGGCUAAAUACUACCUAGUGACCGAUAGCGUAUAGUACCGUGAGGGAAAGGUGAAAAGAACCCCGGGAGGGGAGUGAAAUAGAACCUGAAACCCUGCACUUACAAGCUGUGGAAGCACAUUUCUUGUGUGACCGCGUACUUUUUGUAGAACGGGCCAACGAGUUACGUUAAGUAGCAAGGUUAAGCACUUAAGGUGCGGAGCCGUAGCGAAAGCGAGUUUUAACUGAGCGUUCAGUUACUUGACGUAGACCCGAAACCGGGCGACCUACCCAUGAGCAGGAUGAAGCGAAAGUAAAAUUUCGUGGAGGUCCGAACCACGAGCGUUGAAAAGCUCGGGGAUGACUUGUGGUAGCGGUGAAAUUCCAAUCGAGCCCGGAGAUAGCUGGUUCUCCCCGAAAUAGCUUUAGGGCUAGCCUCAAGGUGAGAGAUACGGGAGGUAGAGCACUGAAUGUCCUAGGGGGUAUUGCACCUACCGAAGACUAUCAAACUCCGAAUGCCCGUCAUCUUAUACUUGGGAGUCAGACUGUGGGUGAUAAGAUUCAUAGUCGAAAGGGCAACAGCCCCAGAUCGUCAGCUAAGGUCCCUAAAUGUAAGUUAAGUGGUAAAGGAUGUGGGAUUGCACAGACAACCAGGAUGUUGGCUUAGAAGCAGCCACUCAUUCAAAGAGUGCGUAAUAGCUCACUGGUCGAGUGAUCCUGCGCCGAAGAUUUCCGGGGCUAAAACUUACUACCGAAGCUACGGCAUCAGUAAUGAUGGGUAGGGGAGCUUCCCAUACGGGUUGAAGCAUGACCGUAAGGACAUGUGGACAGUAUGGGAGUGAGAAUGUUGGCAUGAGUAGCGAGAUGUGGGUGAGAAUCCCACAGGCCGUAAACCCAAGGUUUCCAGGGGAAGGUUCGUCCGCCCUGGGUUAGUCGGGACCUAAGCUGAGGCCGAAAGGCGUAGGUGAUGGACAACAGGUUGAUAUUCCUGUACUACCGAUAACCGUUUGAGAGAAGGGAUGACACAGUAGGAUAAGCUAAGCACACUGUUGGUUAUGUGUGCCCAAGCAUUGAGGCAGUCAAAGUAGGCAAAUCCGCUUUGAUAAUGCUGGGAUGUGAUGGGGAGCGAAAUUUAGUAGCGAAGUAGCUGAUUUCACACUGUCAAGAAAAGUCUCUAUCGAGGUUAAAGGUACCCGUACCGCAAACCGACACAGGUGGGUGAGGAGAGUAUCCUAAGGCCAGCGAGAGAACUGUUGUUAAGGAACUCGGCAAAAUGACCCCGUAACUUAGGGAUAAGGGGUGCCACCAUCAGGUGGCCGCAGAGAAUAGGCCCAAGCGACUGUUUACCAAAAACAUAGGUUUCUGCUAAGUCGCAAGACGAUGUAUAGGAGCUGACGCCUGCCCGGUGCUGGAAGGUUAAGGGGAUCUGUUAGAGCAAUCGAAGCAGUGAACUUAAGCCCCAGUAAACGGCGGCCGUAACUAUAACGGUCCUAAGGUAGCGAAAUUCCUUGUCGGGUAAGUUCCGACCCGCACGAAAGGCGUAACGAUUUGGGCACUGUCUCAACAACAGACUCGGUGAAAUUGUAAUUCCGGUGAAGAUGCCGGAUACCUGCGACAGGACGGAAAGACCCCAUGGAGCUUUACUGUAGCUUGACAUUGGGUCUUGGUACUACAUGUACAGGAUAGGUGGGAGGCUUUGAAACCAGGACGCCAGUUUUGGCGGAGCCAUCCUUGGGAUACCACCCUUGUAGUACUGGGACUCUAACCAUAGGCCAUGAAUCUGGUCUUGGGACACUGUCAGGUGGGCAGUUUGACUGGGGCGGUCGCCUCCCAAAAGGUAACGGAGGCGCUCAAAGGUUCUCUCAGUACGGUCGGAAAUCGUACGUAGAGUGUAAAGGCAAAAGAGAGCUUGAUUGCAAGACAUACAGGUCGAGCAAGGAUGAAAAUCGGACUUAGUGAUCCGGUGGUUCUGCGUGGAAGGGCCAUCGCUCAACGGAUAAAAGCUACCCUGGGGAUAACAGGCUUAUCUCCCCCAAGAGUCCACAUCGACGGGGAGGUUUGGCACCUCGAUGUCGGCUCAUCACAUCCUGGGGCUGUAGUAGGUCCCAAGGGUUGGGCUGUUCGCCCAUUAAAGUGGUACGCGAGCUGGGUUCAGAACGUCGUGAGACAGUUCGGUCCCUAUCCGUCGCAGGCGUAGGAAAUUUGAGAAGACCUGUCCUUAGUACGAGAGGACCGGGAUGGACGUACCUCUGGUGUACCAGUUGUUCUGCCAAGGGCAUGGCUGGGUAGCUAUGUACGGAAUGGAUAAGCGCUGAAAGCAUCUAAGCGCGAAGCCAACUUCAAGAUAAGAUUUCCCACCGCAAGGGUAAGACCCCAGAAAGACUAUCUGGUUGAUAGGUCGAAGGUGUAAGUGCAGCAAUGUAUUUAGCUUAUCGAUACUAAUAGGUCGAGGACUUGACCAAU
RNAcentral lists this ribosomal RNA (2464 nucleotides) under Clostridioides difficile. RNAcentral's name for it is "bacterial LSU rRNA". It matches the Rfam family "Bacterial large subunit ribosomal RNA", at positions 440 to 2925 of the family's 2925-position model. Lineage: Bacteria; Bacillati; Bacillota; Clostridia; Peptostreptococcales; Peptostreptococcaceae. The record is from RNAcentral.